Spermophilus dauricus (Daurian ground squirrel) is the source of this 106-nucleotide small nuclear RNA. NCBI's taxonomy places the organism in Eukaryota, Metazoa, Chordata, Mammalia, Rodentia, Sciuridae. The record is from Ensembl.
GUACCUCUUUUCAACAGCACAUAUACUGGAGUCAGAACAAUACAGAGAGGAUUGGCAUGGCCCCUGUGCAAAGAUGACACAAAUUUGUGAAGUGUUCCAUAUUAAA